RNAcentral lists this ribosomal RNA (468 nucleotides) under Planococcus citri (citrus mealybug). RNAcentral's name for it is "bacterial SSU rRNA". It matches the Rfam family "Eukaryotic small subunit ribosomal RNA", at positions 125 to 508 of the family's 1831-position model. The record is from RNAcentral. Lineage: Eukaryota; Metazoa; Arthropoda; Insecta; Hemiptera; Pseudococcidae.
UCGUACCCGUUACUUGGAAACUGUGGUAAUUCUAGAGCUAAUACAUGCCGACAGAGUUCCGACCAACUGUACGGAUUUGGCGGCAGUUUCGGCUGUCGUCGCCGUACGGUUCGGAAGGAACGCUUUUAUUAGAUCAAAACCGGCUAAACGGCGGUUUCGCUUUCGGGCGUCUCCGUCGUAAGCGGCCCGCGCAAAGAUUUGGUGACUCUGAAUAACUUCGAGCUGAUCGCACGGUCUUUGUACCGGCGACGUAUCUUUCAAAUGUCUGCCUUAUCAACUGUCGACGGUAGGUUCGACGCCUACCGUGGUGGUAACGGGUAACGGGGAAUCAGGGUUCGAUUCCGGAGAGGGAGCCUGAGAAACGGCUACCACAUCCAAGGAAGGCAGCAGGCGCGCAAAUUACCCACUCCCAGCUCGGGGAGGUAGUGACGAAAAAUAACGAUACGGGACUCAUUCGAGGCCCCGUAA